Molecule: ribosomal RNA, 914 nt
Filed under: uncultured bacterium
Lineage: Bacteria
Description: bacterial SSU rRNA
Rfam family: Bacterial small subunit ribosomal RNA
Source: RNAcentral
GAGUUUGAUCCUGGCUCAGGAUGAACGCUAGCGGCAGGCCUAACACAUGCAAGUCGAGGGGUAACAGGAGAGAGCUUGCUUUCUUGCUGACGACCGGCGCACGGGUGCGUAACAGGUAUACAAUCUACCUCAUACUGGGGAAUAGCCCGGAGAAAUUCGGAUUAAUGCCCCAUAAUAUAUUUGAUUCGCAUGUUUUAAAUAUUAAAGAUUUAUCGGUAUGAGAUGAGUAUGCUUCCCAUUAGCUAGUUGGUAAGGUAAUGGCUUACCAAGGCUACGAUGGGUAGGGGGCCUGAGAGGGUAAUCCCCCACACUGGUACUGAGACACGGACCAGACUCCUACGGGAGGCAGCAGUGAGGAAUAUUGGGCAAUGGAGGCAACUCUGACCCAGCCAUGCCGCGUGCAGGAAGAAUGCCUUAUGGGUUGUAAACUGCUUUUAUUUGGGAAGAAACCUUUCUACGUGUAGAGAGCUGACGGUACCAAACGAAUAAGGACCGGCUAACUCCGUGCCAGCAGCCGCGGUAAUACGGAGGGUCCAAGCGUUAUCCGGAAUCAUUGGGUUUAAAGGGUCCGUAGGCGGGAUGAUAAGUCAGUGGUGAAAUCCUACAGCUUAACUGUAGAACUGCCAUUGAUACUGUCGUUCUUGAAUUUGGUCGAAGUGGGCGGAAUAAGUAGUGUAGCGGUGAAAUGCAUAGAUAUUACUUAGAACACCGAUAGUGAAGACAGCUCACUAGGCCUGAAUUGACGCUGAGGGACGAAAGCGUGGGGAGCGAACAGGAUUAGAUACCCUGGUAGUCCACGCCGUAAACGAUGAUUACUCGAUAUUGGCGAUACACAGUCAGUGUCUAAGCGAAAGUGAUAAGUAAUCCACCUGGGGGAGUACGAUCGCAAGGUUGAAACUCAAAGGAAUUGACGG